RNAcentral lists this ribosomal RNA (461 nucleotides) under uncultured Leptolinea sp. Its description in RNAcentral is "bacterial SSU rRNA". It matches the Rfam family "Bacterial small subunit ribosomal RNA", at positions 912 to 1382 of the family's 1533-position model. The record is from RNAcentral. Lineage: Bacteria; Bacillati; Chloroflexota; Anaerolineae; Anaerolineales; Anaerolineaceae.
AGACGGGCCCCGCACAAGCAGCGGAGCGUGUGGUUUAAUUCGAUGUUACACGAAGAACCUUUACCAGGGUUUUGACAUGCAAGUGGUAGGAAGCCGAAAGGUGACCGACCCUUCGGGGAGCUUGCACAGGUGCUGCAUGGCUGUCGUCAGCUCGUGUCGUGAGAUGUUCGGUUAAGUCCGCUAACGAGCGCAACCCUCGCUGUGUGUUUAUAUGUGUCACACGGGACUGCCGGUCUUAAGCCGGAGGAAGGUGGGGAUGAUGUCAAGUCAGCAUGGCCUUUAUAUCCUGGGCUACACACACGCUACAAUGGCCAACACAAUAGGUUGCUAAGCCGCGAGGUGGCGCCAAUCCUCUAAAGCUGUCCUCAGUUCAGAUUGCAGGCUGCAACUCGCCUGCAUGAAGUUGGAGUUGCUAGUAACCGCAGGUCAGCUAUACUGCGGUGAAUACGUUCCCGGGGAUU